RNAcentral lists this ribosomal RNA (1191 nucleotides) under Diopatra cuprea. RNAcentral describes it as "16S ribosomal RNA". It matches the Rfam family "Bacterial large subunit ribosomal RNA", at positions 579 to 2765 of the family's 2925-position model. The record is from RNAcentral. Lineage: Eukaryota; Metazoa; Annelida; Polychaeta; Eunicida; Onuphidae.
UUCUUUUUUUUUAACCUAAAAUCCCCACUUCCUCUUAUCGCAAGAAAAUUAUUUAGAUUAUUAAAGUAUGUGUAGUACCUUUUGCAUCAUGGUUAUACAAGAAUAAAAAUAAUUUUAAAUCCCGAAAUAUAAUGAGCUGUUAUACUCUUGUUCAGAACCCAUUUUUUGAUAUCGCAAUAUCUUAAACAAAGAAUAUAUCAGAGGCUACAUACCUAUCGCAUUAUUUUAUAGCUGGUUUUCCCCUCAUCCAGUUUUAGCUGAAUUAAUUGAAAAAAAAAACUUUAUCUUAUCAAUUCUUUAUUUCAAUUGAGGACAAGCUCUAUUGACUAUUUUAUUAUUUCUAAAAAUAAUACCCUAAGUAGGCCUAAAAUCAGCCACCAUCUAUCUCGUUGCAGAGUUAUUUUAAUAUUAAUUUCAAAAUAAUACCUUUAAAGGAAUAAGUUUAUAAAUCUUCAUAUACUUAACUUAUGUAUAAAUUAGUAUUUUUUUUGUAUUUCCAUAAAUUUCUCUAAUUAAUAAAUAAGGAACUAGGCAAAUUUGAUUUCGCCUGUUUACCAAAAACAUCGCCUAUUGAUCUAUAAUAAUAGGUAAACCCUGCCCAGUGAUACGUUUAACGGCCGCGGUAUUCUGACCGUGCAAAGGUAGCAUAAUCAUUUGCCUCUUAAUUAGAGGCUAGUAUGAAUGGGUAAACGAAAGUCAAGCUGUCUCAUUUAUUUUUAUAUAAAUUAAUCUUUAGGUGAAGAAGCCUAAAUAAAAUUAAAAGACAAGAAGACCCUGUCGAGCUUUAUUUUUCAAUUAAACUCCAUUUUAUAUAUCCUUUAAUUUUAAAUUUUGUUGGGGCGACAAAGGAACUAUCUAUCUUCCUUAAUAUAUAAAGACCUCAUUUCUUCCUAAUGACCCAUUUUAUGAUCGUAGAAAAAAGCUACCGCAGGGAUAACAGGCUAAUCCUCCACAAGAGCCCAAAUCUAAUGGAGGGAUUGGCACCUCGAUGUUGGCUUAGGACCUCUUUUAAAUGCAACAGUUUAAAAAGAAGGUUUGUUCAACCUUUAAUCUCCUACAUGAGCUGAGUUCAGACCGGCGUAAGCCAGGUCAGAUUCUAUCUUUAAUUCAAACUAAGUCUUUUAGUACGAAAGGACCAAAGACUUAAAAAUCAUUUUUCUCCCGAUUCCAUAUAAAGAAUUUUAAAUUACU